Molecule: unclassified non-coding RNA, 251 nt
Filed under: uncultured fungus
Lineage: Eukaryota; Fungi
Description: partial contains 5.8S ribosomal RNA, internal transcribed spacer 2, and large subunit ribosomal RNA
Source: RNAcentral
AACGCACAUUGCGCCCGUUAGUAUUCUGACGGGCAUGCCUGUCCGAGCGUCAUUUAAACCCUUAAGCCCAGCUUAGCGUUGGCGGAUCACGGUGCCCCAGGCCCCGCGACCGCCCAAAUCCAUUGGCGGUCCCGCCGCGGCUCCCUUGCGUAGUAACUCACCUCGCACCGGGCCCGGGCGGCGACCCGCCGUAAAACCCCCACUAUAACAAGGUUGACCUCGGAUCAGGUAGGAAUACCCGCUGAACUUAA